Molecule: ribosomal RNA, 1243 nt
Filed under: metagenome
Description: bacterial LSU rRNA
Rfam family: Bacterial large subunit ribosomal RNA
Source: RNAcentral
UAGAACCCUCGUUAAGGAAUUAGGCAAAUUUCCCCCGUACGUUCGCAAUAAGGGGGGCCUCUGGUGGUGAGCUUAAUCGCAAGGCUGCUGGAGGCCGCAGAGAAAUGGCUCUUCCAACUGUUUAACAAAAACACAGGUCUCUGCUAAGUCGAAAGACGAAGUAUAGGGGCUGACGCCUGCCCAGUGCUGGAAGGUUAAGGGGAGAGGUUAGGCGCAAGCCGAAGCUUUGAGCCGAGGCCCCAGUGAACGGCGGCCGUAACUAUAACGGUCCUAAGGUAGCGAAAUUCCUUGUCGGGUAAGGUCCGACCCGCACGAAUGGCGUAAUGAGAGGAGCACUGUCUCAACGAGGGACUCGGCGAACAUUGAAGGACGUGUGAAGAUACACGUGACCCGCAGCGGGACAAAAAGACCCCGUGAAGCUUUACUACAACUUGCCAUUGAGUUAGGGCUAAACCUGUGUAGUAUAGGUGGGAGGCUUUGAAGCUGGGACGCCAGUCUCGGUGGAGCCACCGUUGAAAUACCACCCUGGUUUAUUCUUGGCUCUAACCUGUCGCCGUUAUCCGGCAUGGGAACAGUGGCUGGUGGGUAGUUUGACUGGGGCGGUCGCCUCCGAAAGCGUAACAGAGGCGCCCAAAGGUUCCCUCAGGCUGAAUGGAAACCAGCCGUUGAGUGUAAAGGCACAAGGGAGCUUGACUGCAAGACCAACAAGUCGCGCAGGGACGAAAGUCGGGCUUAGUGAUCCCACGGUUCAGAGUGGAAUGGCCGUGGCUUACCGGAUAAAAGCUACUCCGGGGAUAACAGGGUAGUCUGGUCCAAGAGUUCAUAUCGACGACCAGGUUCGCCACCUCGAUGUCGGCUCAUCACAUCCUGGGGCUGGAUAAGGUCCCAAGGGUUGGGCUGUUCGCCCAUUAAAGUGGUACGUGAGCUGGGUUCAGACCGUCGUGAGACAGGUCGGUCUCUAUCCGCUGUGGGCGUAAGGGAUUUGAGAGAAGCUGCCCCUAGUACGAGAGGACCGGGGUGGACGGACCUCUAGUGUGCCAGUUGUUCUGCCAAGAGCAUUGCUGGGUAGCUACGUCCGGCAGAGAUAACCGCUGAAAGCAUCUAAGUGGGAAACUCGUCUCAAGAUUAGAUCCCUCAUCCGUAUGGAGUAAGACCGCUAGAAGACUACUAGUUUGAUAGGCGGCAGGUGUAAGCGCAGUAAUGUGUUCAGCUUAGCCGUACUAAUGGUCGAGGGCUUACGUUU